AGCUUUAUAUUCAUUAAUGAUAUAAAAUUGCAAAUUUUAAGGUGUAAUAAUUACUAAGGCUU
RNAcentral lists this transfer RNA (62 nucleotides) under Prioneris philonome clemanthe. RNAcentral describes it as "tRNA-Cys". The record is from RNAcentral. Lineage: Eukaryota; Metazoa; Arthropoda; Insecta; Lepidoptera; Pieridae.